GAUGAACGCUAGCGAUAGGCUUAACACAUGCAAGUCGAGGGGCAGCACGAAUUAGCAAUAGUUUGGUGGCGACCGGCGCACGGGUGCGUAACACGUAUACAACCUACCUUCAAUUGGGGGAUAACCUGGAGAAAUUCGGACUAAUAUCCCAUAGCAAACAGAAGAGGCAUCUUUUUUGUUUUAAAGAUUUAUUGAUUGGAGAUGGGUAUGCGUAGGAUUAGCUAGUUGGUAAGGUAACGGCUUACCAAGGCGACGAUCCUUAGGGGUUCUGAGAGGAAGGUCCCCCACACUGGUACUGAGACACGGACCAGACUCCUACGGGAGGCAGCAGUGAGGAAUAUUGGUCAAUGGUCGAGAGACUGAACCAGCCAAGUCGCGUGAAGGAAGACGGCUCUAUGAGUUGUAAACUUCUUUUGUACAGGAGUAAAGUGAGACACGCGUGUUUUAUUGCAAGU
RNAcentral lists this ribosomal RNA (455 nucleotides) under Bacteroidetes bacterium oral taxon 274. RNAcentral's name for it is "bacterial SSU rRNA". It matches the Rfam family "Bacterial small subunit ribosomal RNA", at positions 28 to 476 of the family's 1533-position model. Lineage: Bacteria; Pseudomonadati; Bacteroidota. The record is from RNAcentral.